RNAcentral lists this ribosomal RNA (337 nucleotides) under Staphylococcus aureus. RNAcentral describes it as "partial 23S ribosomal RNA". It matches the Rfam family "Bacterial large subunit ribosomal RNA", at positions 1 to 338 of the family's 2925-position model. Lineage: Bacteria; Bacillati; Bacillota; Bacilli; Caryophanales; Staphylococcaceae. The record is from RNAcentral.
AGAUUAAGUUAUUAAGGGCGCACGGUGGAUGCCUUGGCACUAGAAGCCGAUGAAGGACGUUACUAACGACGAUAUGCUUUGGGGAGCUGUAAGUAAGCUUUGAUCCAGAGAUUUCCGAAUGGGGAAACCCAGCAUGAGUUAUGUCAUGUUAUCGAUAUGUGAAUACAUAGCAUAUCAGAAGGCACACCCGGAGAACUGAAACAUCUUAGUACCCGGAGGAAGAGAAAGAAAAUUCGAUUCCCUUAGUAGCGGCGAGCGAAACGGGAAGAGCCCAAACCAACAAGCUUGCUUGUUGGGGUUGUAGGACACUCUAUACGGAGUUACAAAGGACGACAUU